This 783-nucleotide ribosomal RNA is filed under the name uncultured bacterium. Its description in RNAcentral is "bacterial SSU rRNA". It matches the Rfam family "Bacterial small subunit ribosomal RNA", at positions 43 to 841 of the family's 1533-position model. The record is from RNAcentral.
CAGUCGAACGGGACUAUGCAAGAUGAAGUUUUCGGAUGGAAUUUUGUAUAGUUUAGUGGCGGACGGGUGAGUAACACGUGAGCAACCUGCCUUCGAGAGGGGAAUAACGGCUGGAAACGGUCGCUAAUACCGCAUAACAUACAGGAGGGACAUCCCUUUUGUAUCAAAGAUUUAUCGCUCGAAGAUGGGCUCGCGUCCGAUUAGGUAGUUGGUGAGGUAAUGGCCCACCAAGCCGACGAUCGGUAGCCGGACUGAGAGGUUGAACGGCCACAUUGGGACUGAGACACGGCCCAGACUCCUACGGGAGGCAGCAGUGGGGGAUAUUGCACAAUGGGGGAAACCCUGAUGCAGCGACGCCGCGUGUAGGAAGACGGUCCUCUGGAUUGUAAACUACUGUCCCCAGGGACGAAGAUGACGGUACCUGGGGAGGAAGCUCCGGCUAACUACGUGCCAGCAGCCGCGGUAAUACGUAGGGAGCGAGCGUUGUCCGGAAUUACUGGGUGUAAAGGGAGCGUAGGCGGGGAUGCAAGUUGGGUGUUAAAUCUACCGGCUCAACUGGUAGUCGCACUCAAAACUGCAGCUCUUGAGUGAAGUAGAGGCAGGCGGAAUUCCUAGUGUAGCGGUGAAAUGCGUAGAUAUUAGGAGGAACACCAGUGGCGAAGGCGGCCUGCUGGGCUUUUACUGACGCUGAGGCUCGAAAGUGUGGGGAGCAAACAGGAUUAGAUACCCUGGUAGUCCACACCGUAAACGAUGAUUACUAGGUGUGGGGGGUCUGACCCCCUC